This 253-nucleotide ribosomal RNA is filed under the name uncultured bacterium. Its description in RNAcentral is "partial 16S ribosomal RNA". It matches the Rfam family "Bacterial small subunit ribosomal RNA", at positions 524 to 776 of the family's 1533-position model. The record is from RNAcentral.
UACGAAGGGGGCUAGCGUUGCUCGGAAUCACUGGGCGUAAAGCGCACGUAGGCGGCUUUUUAAGUCAGGGGUGAAAUCCUGGAGCUCAACUCCAGAACUGCCUUUGAUACUGAGAAGCUUGAGUCCGGGAGAGGUGAGUGGAACUGCGAGUGUAGAGGUGAAAUUCGUAGAUAUUCGCAAGAACACCAGUGGCGAAGGCGGCUCACUGGCCCGUUACUGACGCUGAGGUGCGAAAGCGUGGGGAGCAAACAGG